UCAUUGAAAUAUGUGGGAGAGAACGGAGAGGUAGAGGGGACAAAGGACACGGGAAGGCAGGAUGCUGUUGGGCAUUGUCCUUGGCAGAGGACGCGCAGCUUCUUUUCGCGCACUUUAUAGCGGCUUACGACACCAACGUAAGCUCCUUACGUAAUGCUUUGGAGUUACAUAUGCGUAUGUACAUACAUAUUUCUGCAGGAUAACAACAGAUUUCAUCAUAUAGUGUGUAAUGAAAUAUUUCAACCAGUCCAUCAACUAUUGCUUAGUGACAUCACAACUGAUAUGGGAAAUUUUGAUAAUCGAAAACACAAACAGCUAAAAAGAGUCUUAAUGCACGGGACAAAUAAUAGAAAUUAACAAUUAAUAAAAAGCAAUUAGCAGCUAUAGGCGUCA
Drosophila simulans is the source of this 393-nucleotide long non-coding RNA. RefSeq lists it as uncharacterized. The transcript has 2 exons. Lineage: Eukaryota; Metazoa; Arthropoda; Insecta; Diptera; Drosophilidae. The record is from RefSeq and is a predicted model, not a curated record.